Long non-coding RNA from Vicia villosa (hairy vetch), 1153 nucleotides. RefSeq lists it as uncharacterized. The transcript is spliced from 3 exons. The record is from RefSeq and is a predicted model, not a curated record. Lineage: Eukaryota; Viridiplantae; Streptophyta; Magnoliopsida; Fabales; Fabaceae.
CAUGAGACCACUCGGAACCGAGACUUCAAAGAUUGGAUUGAAGUUGUCAAGGAGCAUGAGACAUUUUAUCUUUAUAAUGGAGAGCCGGUUGAGAAUGAUGGGCCUUUCAAAGUCUGUUUUAACCCACUCAAGCUCAUCUUCAAUGGAGGGUAUUUCAAAAAAUGAAGAAGAUGCACGAUUCAUCCAUUUACAAUGUUUUAAUUUUUAUAUCAAUCCCAUCCUUUCCGUUAAUGGGGUUGUAUUUUUACCGAGUCAGUUCAAUUUCCUCUGGUAAGAACAGUGAGGAAAAACCAACGCAGUUUCCAUUUGGUUGAAAACCUUUGGGGGUCAUCUAAAGAACAAGUCUUUGUAUGCCUUGGGAUUAUGUUCAGAGUUUUAGUUAACGCGGGUGAUACUUUACUUUUUGGUUUAGAUUCAUGUGACUAUACCAAUAAACCUCGUGGGAAAGCUAUCCUUCAUCAUAAGGUCAAUAAUCUACCAGUAAAUUUGCUUCGUGUUGCAUACUCGAGCCAGAUCCAUGGUCAAAGCUCUUAUUCCUCUUAUGACUUGCCCAAGACUGCUGUGAUGACUCUCAACCAAGUUUCAAUUGUAAAAAGUUUGGACUUCCCUCUAUUUAUAUUUCUGUUGAUGGUUAGUUGGAACAAACUUCCAUUAUUGCCUUUUCCUAGAUGCUUUAGAAUUUUUAACUUGGUUGAUACUGAUAUGGUGCUGAUAUAAUGGUGAUAUUGGUGAUAUGGUACUGAUAUGUUGGGUGUCUUGAAAAAGUUGAUCAUCUCAUAUCAGGAAUUGGUUUAUGUUCUGCCUGAGGCACUGUCACAAUUUGUUUUCAUGAUUUCUUCUGUAAAUUUUUUAUUACAAGGGAAGAUUUUGGCUAAUGAAUGAGGUAUGUACAUUUAAAAAAUAUAGGAUCAGAAGGAAGAUGUUGGUUAUGCUAAUAAAUAUUAAUUAUACCCAAACCUAAUGGGUAAUGCAGAGUCAUGUCAUUUGACAAAUGUUGUGUUGGCUAUGGUGAAGGUUGCAUUUGAUACUCUUGAUUUUGAGCUUCAUAGUGGAACUCAUCCUAGACUUGGAGUGGUGGAUCAUAUAUAUUUUCAUCCUUUGGUUGAUAUGUCGUUGGAUCAAGCGGCUAGGACUGCGAGGUGUUUAGCUACUG